This is a long non-coding RNA of Neodiprion fabricii, 2248 nucleotides long. RefSeq lists it as uncharacterized. NCBI's taxonomy places the organism in Eukaryota, Metazoa, Arthropoda, Insecta, Hymenoptera, Diprionidae. The record is from RefSeq and is a predicted model, not a curated record. The transcript is spliced from 3 exons.
AUCCAUCCGAUUCUAUAAUAGACUUUGGAAGAGUGCGGAACCCGAAAGUUUACCCAGGAGUCAGUCGCCAGCUGCUACUCGUGGCGAAAUCACGCUUUCUUCUGACUAUCGCAGACCCAGUUUCCCCCUUGAAUAAACCGCUAACGUCCGAUCGGAUCCCAGUGCCUUGGAACCUUCAUUAAAAAGGGAAAAGAUACAGGAUCGAAGCAAGGCCUACUCUAAGCGGUGGGCGACCCACUCACGGUUGAAUUAUAAACAACCUUUGAAUAAAUUCUUGUACAGGGGAUUUACGCAGUAACGAUCAGCUUCUAAGCCGAAACGAUUCGGUGCAGUGCAGCGGCUCAAGGGUAUGGCGAUAGACAUCAAGCUUUCCAAAUUCAAUAACAUCCCAUGGGGAUUCCGGCUUUCCGGUGGAGCGGAUUUUCCCCAUCCACUCACGGUUGUCAGGGUGGCCCGGGGAAGUUUGGCCGACGAUGCCGGGCUGCAGCCAGGUGACGUCCUGAUAAGAGUCAACGACAGUCCUCUGCAGAAUCUGACACACGCACAGGCACACGAUUGGCUGGUGCGAGCCGGUAACAACUUCGUUCUCUCCGUCGUCCGCAAUCAUCGCAUCGCCAAAGAGGCCCAUUGACCUCCGGCCAUUCCUGAUCGUAAUUCUUGUCCGACCUCUCGUUCAGCUUUUCGAGACGGUCUCGGGAUGGAUUUAUAUUUUCCAAUGCUACAAGGGUACGAGACUCGAAAUGAGAAAAUAAUUCCCGGAUGGCGAUGUUGGGUAUUCAGAAAACCCCGCGCGGGUCGCAAAUAUUUUUAUAGUUAUGAUAUAAAGUGACUUUAUAGGAAGAUAAAAAAAAUAUAUUGCUAUAUACUUUUUCACUGUACGUAUUGUAGUUUGAUUCGUGUUCUAUAAUUCGUAAUUAGGUAGAUACGCAAUUAAUGUUGACAUCCUGUCUGUGAAUUGAGCGGGUCACAUAUUAUAAUGAACACGCCCGUAUUUUUCCAUAUCUCGUUCUGCGUGAAGAACGCAGAAUUUCCGUAUCAAUUGCAAUGAUCGUUUGAGCGAAUAUCCAGAUACGGAUUUGUUUGUGCAAUUAACGAUUUGCAGUUGACAAUAUUCGAUAUUCGCUGGUAGUGACUGAGCCAUUUAUUGACUGUCAUACUUUGAUGAUAAGUACCAUAAUUACGGUGACUGAUCUUGAUAACCCGCAUUAAAAUAACCCGUACAAAAAUAACCGGGCAUAAAUAACCCAACCACAAAUAAUCCGUGAUAAAAAAUUGACAAACAAUUAAAUUAUAUUAAUAUUAAAUUGAAUUUCACAAGUAUUGAUAUUUUUGUUCGAUCUAUUUGGUCCCAGUACUGAUAAUUACCGACCAACGGCUCAAAAAAUCGAUAUGUUGCAUUUUAAAUAUUUCAUUCAAAAAAUUAGGUAACGGAAAAAUACUGGAGGCCGGUGACAGCCGUACCGUAAACAUGGCUAUACAGAACAAGCUUAGGGGGUGCGCUGGUCGAUUUCGACGUGACAUAUACAUAUAUCGCCGGAUAUUGCAGUCGACGUAUCUCAAACGCGUGAAAGGGUUCAACAGUCCCACUCCAUAAGCAAUUAUGAACAAAAACAUUCCAAUAUAUUUUCAUUCGACGCAGAAAUAAAGAAACUGCAUGGAUUCUACUAAUUUAAUAUUGCAAGCAAUUUCGUAGAAAGCACGCCGUUUCUUUACUUCUGCGUCGAAUGAAAAUGUAUUGGAAUUUUUUCGUUCACAAUUGCUCAUAGAGUUGGACUGAGGAACCCUUUUACGCGGUUGAAAUACGUAGACUUCGAUAUUUGGCGAAUAUAUACGUCAACGUCAAAAUCGACCAGGGCACCCCACUAGUCAUGUUUACGGUACGACCAGGGGGCACCCUCUUAAGCUUGACUUCAUUUUCCUUCUAUUGGUUGAAGAAACUCCUUUUAUGCGCUUAAGAUUUGUUGAUAUUACGUUCGUUCAAUAUGGGCCGGGGAUUCAGCGCAGAGUGCGAGCUUGGGAGAUAAGGGAUCCGUUGUUGCAUUUCAUUUGCUUGAAUUAAGAUCCGUUGAGUGAUAGAUCUAUAAUGUGCAGUUGGUAUACGUAGGCAUUCAGCUACUGUCAGUAUAUCCUACGUGUACGAAAGAGCGUGCGCAAUUCGCAGCAAAAGAUUUUCUUUGAAAUCACUUACAGCCAUAUGGAUAAAAAAAAAAAAAAAAAAAACAGUGUGAGCGAGGUUGUAAAAAAUUUU